RNAcentral lists this ribosomal RNA (1105 nucleotides) under Vibrio sp. 791M. RNAcentral's name for it is "bacterial SSU rRNA". It matches the Rfam family "Bacterial small subunit ribosomal RNA", at positions 385 to 1484 of the family's 1533-position model. Lineage: Bacteria; Pseudomonadati; Pseudomonadota; Gammaproteobacteria; Vibrionales; Vibrionaceae. The record is from RNAcentral.
GAUGCGCCAUGCCGCGUGUGUGAAGAAGGCCUUCGGGUUGUAAAGCACUUUCAGUCGUGAGGAAGGUGGUGUAGUUAAUAGCUGCAUUAUUUGACGUUAGCGACAGAAGAAGCACCGGCUAACUCCGUGCCAGCAGCCGCGGUAAUACGGAGGGUGCGAGCGUUAAUCGGAAUUACUGGGCGUAAAGCGCAUGCAGGUGGUUUGUUAAGUCAGAUGUGAAAGCCCGGGGCUCAACCUCGGAAUAGCAUUUGAAACUGGCAGACUAGAGUACUGUAGAGGGGGGUAGAAUUUCAGGUGUAGCGGUGAAAUGCGUAGAGAUCUGAAGGAAUACCGGUGGCGAAGGCGGCCCCCUGGACAGAUACUGACACUCAGAUGCGAAAGCGUGGGGAGCAAACAGGAUUAGAUACCCUGGUAGUCCACGCCGUAAACGAUGUCUACUUGGAGGUUGUGGCCUUGAGCCGUGGCUUUCGGAGCUAACGCGUUAAGUAGACCGCCUGGGGAGUACGGUCGCAAGAUUAAAACUCAAAUGAAUUGACGGGGGCCCGCACAAGCGGUGGAGCAUGUGGUUUAAUUCGAUGCAACGCGAAGAACCUUACCUACUCUUGACAUCCAGAGAACUUUCCAGAGAUGGAUUGGUGCCUUCGGGAACUCUGAGACAGGUGCUGCAUGGCUGUCGUCAGCUCGUGUUGUGAAAUGUUGGGUUAAGUCCCGCAACGAGCGCAACCCUUAUCCUUGUUUGCCAGCGAGUAAUGUCGGGAACUCCAGGGAGACUGCCGGUGAUAAACCGGAGGAAGGUGGGGACGACGUCAAGUCAUCAUGGCCCUUACGAGUAGGGCUACACACGUGCUACAAUGGCGCAUACAGAGGGCAGCCAACUUGCGAAAGUGAGCGAAUCCCAAAAAGUGCGUCGUAGUCCGGAUUGGAGUCUGCAACUCGACUCCAUGAAGUCGGAAUCGCUAGUAAUCGUGGAUCAGAAUGCCACGGUGAAUACGUUCCCGGGCCUUGUACACACCGCCCGUCACACCAUGGGGAGUGGGCUGCAAAAGAAGUAGGUAGUUUAACCUUCCGGGGGGACGCUUACCACUUUGUGGUCAUGAUGGGUGAU